AAUCACCACCACCUCCGGUGCAUUCUCCACCUCCACCAUAUGAGUAUAAAUCACCACCACCACCUUCACCAUCCCCACCACCACCAUAUGUGUACAAGUCUCCACCACCACCCGUCAAAUCCCCACCUCCACCAUACCACUACUCAUCACCACCACCACCCGUAAAAUCCCCACCUCCACCAUACCACUACUCCUCCCCACCACCACCUGUAAAAUCACCUCCUCCACCUUAUCAUUACUCAUCUCCACCACCACCAGUCAAAUCCCCACCACCACCAUACCACUACUCAUCACCUCCACCACCCGUAAAAUCACCACCUCCACCAUACUACUACAAGUCCCCACCACCUCCAGUUAAAUCCCCACCACCACCAUACUACUACCAUUCUCCUCCUCCCCCAGUGAAGUCACCACCUCCACCAUACCACUACAACUCUCCUCCACCACCCAAGCAUUCUCCACCACCACCUUACUACUACAAGUCUCCACCACCCCCCGUCAAGUCACCACCCCCACCAUACUACUAUCACUCUCCACCACCCCCAAUGAAGUCACCACCCCCACCAUACUACUACAGCUCACCACCACCACCCGUCAAGUCCCCACCACCACCAUACUACUACAGUUCACCACCACCACCGGUGAAAUCCCCGCCACCCCCAUACUACUACACAUCCCCACCACCACCAGUGAAAUCUCCACCACCUCCUUACUAUCCUCACCCUCAUCAUCACUCAUACACCGUGAAGGUAGUAGGAAAGGUUUACUGUUACAGAUGCUACGACUGGAAGUACCCAAUCAAGUCCCAUGCAAAGAUGCACCUAAAAGGUAACUUUUUUUCUAUUUUAUCAAUUAUUUAAUACACAUAAUUACCUCCUAGUUACAUUCUUCAGUCUUAAGUAUAUAUGUUUUUUCAGUUAUAUACACGCUCCUCUUUAAUAAUUUAGCUUUCUUACUGAUCAUUGCUUAUUAUAUUGUCCACGCACAUGCAUGCUAGCUAGCUCAUACUACACUCAUUUUCCUUUUCCUUGCUCUUUCUUAAUGUGGAAAUCCUAAUACCCUAGUGAGCUUAAUUAUUAUCACCAGAUCACUUCUAAAAUGUAAAGUUAAUCAUGCUUUUAUAAUGAACUAAUAUGCUUCAUUUAUUAUUAAUCACUUUGGUUUCUUUUUAUGUGACACUGUGAUUUACAUGCAUUCUAUAUAGUUCCGGCCACCUAGUACACUUUAAUGAGCUUGAUUAAUAUCAGAUCAUCUUCCUAUAAAAAGUUAAAUCAUGAUUUAUGAAUUAAUUAAUAUCCAUAACGACCAUAUGUCAUAACAGCUUUAUGUUGUAAAGCGAAAGAAAAGAAGGGCUGGACACCAUUAUAUAAUAGGACAGAUUCGAUCUGGCUAGCACCCACCCGAUCCACAUUGUUCAAUAAAAGACAUGCAUAUUUUUAUCUAUAAUCCACCAAUGAAAUUCUUGAUUUAUGCACCAAAAUUGGACGUAUAUAAUUUGUUCCCUUAUAUCUUUAUUUAGAUUAUAUCUUUAUAUAGAUUAGUGUAUAGUUUAAUAAUAUUAUUUCAAAUAUAUAUUUAAUAUUUUUCCCACCGGGUGUUACAUCUUUUACAUAUAAGCAUGUUAUAUAAUAAUAUAAUAUAAAGAUUUUUAACUUACUUUAAUUUUGGUAUAUGUCAAGCAUAUGCCAAUGAUGUUGCAUAUUAGAUUAAUUAGUAAAGAGAUAUGUCCUUUCAAAGAAUAAAUUAUAAUUAAAAUUGACAUGCUAGUCUUCUAUAUACUGUUAAGAUGUCUACAUACAGAGAAACUUCAUACCACACAUAGUCCAACGAUUGAUCUCUGAUUUGAAAAUAUAGAACGUGUAUUUAUUCUUAUUUGAAAAACGUGGCAACUAGAUCAGAGUUGGAAGCUAAGAUAAUAUAUAUUAGUACAAACAACUCACAAAGGAUAAGAGGACAAAAUGACUUAUUAUUAAAAAAAACUGAAUUAGGUAAAGACUGUAUUUAUUUAAGAUUUUGUCAAUAAAGUGGUUGUAAUAAUUCAACAUGUGGAAACAGGUGCUGUGGUUGAGGUGACAUGCAAGGCAGGAGACAAAGAUGUGGUGGCUUAUGGUAAGACAAAGAUCAAUGGUAAAUACAGCAUCACGGUUAAAGGAUUUGAGUACGGAAAGUAUGGUGGAGCCAAGGCAUGCAAAGCUAAGCUCCAUAUGGCGCCCAAGGAUUCUAAAUGUAAUAUUGCAACAAAUCUUCAUUGGGGCAUUAAGGGUGCUAAACUCAAAGUGAAAUCUAAGAGCAAAUAUGAAGUUGUUUUGUCUGCUAAGCCAUUUGCAUAUGCUCCCAAGACUCCUUACAAGAAGUGUUACAAGCCUGCACCAACACCAGCUCCGGUGACUCCGGUGACACCGCCUUAUUAUUAUAAGUCUCCACCACCGCCACCCAAGUCUCCCGCACCAACUCCUUAUUAUUACAAAUCUCCACCACCGCCAUCUAAAUCUCCGGCACCAACUCCUUACUACUACAAGUCUCCACCACCACCGCCUAAAUCUCCCACGCCAACACCUUACUACUACAAGUCUCCUCCCCCACCAACAAAAUCUCCGGUUCCAGCUCCUUAUUACUACAAAUCUCCCCCACCACCAACUAAGUCUCCCACUCCGGCUCCUUAUUACUACAAGUCCCCACCACCACCUUCACCAUCACCACCACCUCCAUACUACUACAAAUCACCACCACCACCUGUCAAGUCUCCCACUCCCGCUCCUUAUUACUACAAGUCCCCACCACCGCCGUCACCAUCUCCACCACCUCCAUACUACUACAAAUCACCACCACCACCCGUGAAAUCUCCAACUCCAACUCCUUACUACUACAAGUCUCCACCCCCACCGUCACCAUCUCCUCCCCCACCAUACUACUACAAAUCACCACCACCACCCGUGCAUUCACCUCCACCACCUUACUACUACAAAUCACCACCCCCGCCAGUGCACUCACCUCCACCACCCUACUACUACAAAUCACCACCACCUCCUUCGCCAUCUCCUCCACCACCAUAUUACUACAAGUCCCCACCUCCACCAAGUCCAUCCCCUCCACCUCCAUACCAUUACUCAUCACCUCCACCACCUGUGAAAUCCCCACCACCUCCAUAUCAUUAUUCCUCACCCCCACCACCUGUCAAAUCCCCGCCACCUCCAUAUCAUUAUUCGUCACCCCCACCACCAGUGAAAUCCCCGCCACCUCCAUAUCAUUAUUCGUCACCCCCACCACCAGUGAAAUCCCCGCCACCUCCAUAUCAUUAUUCGUCACCCCCACCACCAGUGAAAUCCCCGCCACCACCAUAUCAUUAUUCAUCACCACCACCCCCCGUCAAAUCCCCACCACCUCCUUACCAUUACUCUUCACCACCACCACCAGUAAAAUCUCCACCACCUCCAUAUCAUUAUUCAUCACCUCCACCACCAGUGAAAUCCCCACCACCUCCAUACCACUAUACGUCACCACCACCUCCAGUAAAAUCACCACCACCCCCAUAUCAUUAUUCAUCACCUCCACCACCCGUGAAGUCCCCACCACCACCAUACCACUAUUCUUCACCACCACCACCAGUAAAAUCCCCACCUCCUCCAUACCAUUACUCAUCACCUCCCCCACCUGUGAAAUCACCACCCCCUCCAUACCACUACUCUUCACCACCACCACCAGUCAAAUCCCCACCUCCUCCAUACCACUACUCUUCACCUCCACCACCGGUGAAAUCUCCACCUCCCCCAUACCACUACUCAUCUCCACCACCGCCAGUGAAAUCACCUCCACCACCGUACCACUACUCAUCUCCACCACCUCCCGUGAAAUCCCCACCUCCACCGUACCACUACUCAUCACCUCCACCACCCGUAAAAUCACCACCUCCUCCAUACCACUACUCAUCACCACCACCGCCAGUGAAGUCACCUCCUCCCCCAUACCACUACUCAUCACCACCACCACCAGAAAAAUCACCACCCCCACCAUACCACUACUCAUCUCCCCCACCCCCAGAGAAAUCUCCGCCCCCACCUUACCAUUACUCAUCCCCUCCACCACCCGUAAAAUCCCCACCUCCCCCAUACCACUACUCAUCCCCACCACCACCCGUGAAGUCUCCACCUCCCCCGUAUCACUAUUCCUCACCCCCACCGCCAGUGAAAUCACCUCCUCCCCCAUACGUCUAUUCAUCACCACCCCCAC
Molecule: long non-coding RNA, 4227 nt
Filed under: Daucus carota (carrot)
Lineage: Eukaryota; Viridiplantae; Streptophyta; Magnoliopsida; Apiales; Apiaceae
Description: long non-coding RNA (DCAR_LNC004777)
Source: RNAcentral